This 262-nucleotide ribosomal RNA is filed under the name uncultured bacterium. RNAcentral's name for it is "partial 16S ribosomal RNA". It matches the Rfam family "Bacterial small subunit ribosomal RNA", at positions 793 to 1055 of the family's 1533-position model. The record is from RNAcentral.
GUCCUUGCCGUAAACGAUGUAUACUUGAUGUAAUUGGGCUCAACCCUGAUUGUGUCGAAGCUAACGCGAUAAGUAUACCGCCUGGGGAGUACGCUCGCAAGGGUGAAACUCAAAAGAAUUGACGGGGCCCGCACAAGCAGUGGAGCAUGUGGUUUAAUUCGAUGCAACGCGAAGAACCUUACCCAGGCUCGAAAUGUAAUGGACGAUACCAGAAACGGUAUUUUCCGCAAGGACCAUUAUAUAGGUGCUGCAUGGCUGUCGU